GAUGAAGAACGUAGUGAAAUGCGAUACGUAAUGUGAAUUGCAAAUUCAGUGAAUCAUCGAGUCUUUGAACGCACAUUGCGCCCCCUGGUAUUCCGGGGGGCAUGCCUGUCCGAGCGUCAUUGCUGCCCUCAAGCACGGCUUGUGUGUUGGGCCCCGUCCUCCGAUCCCGGGGGACGGGCCCGAAAGGCAGCGGCGGCACCGCGUCCGGUCCUCGAGCGCAUGGGGCUUUGUCACCCGCUCUGUAGGCCCGGCCGGCGCUUGCCGAUCAACCCAAAUUUUUAUCCAGGUUGACCUCGGAUCAGGUAGGGAUACCCGCUGAACUUAAGCAUAUCAAUAAGCGGAGGA
Molecule: unclassified non-coding RNA, 345 nt
Filed under: soil metagenome
Description: partial contains 5.8S ribosomal RNA, internal transcribed spacer 2, and large subunit ribosomal RNA
Rfam family: 5.8S ribosomal RNA (bases 1-119)
Source: RNAcentral